GCUUAUGGCCACCCGCCUGGUUCACGGCUGAUCUCGUUUGAUCUCGGAAGCUAAGAUAGGUUGGGCCUGGUUAGUACUUUGAUGGGAGACCGCCUGGGAAUACCAGGUGCUGUAAGCU
This 118-nucleotide ribosomal RNA is filed under the name Scophthalmus maximus (turbot). The record is from RNAcentral. Lineage: Eukaryota; Metazoa; Chordata; Actinopteri; Pleuronectiformes; Scophthalmidae.